This 508-nucleotide ribosomal RNA is filed under the name Periclimenes rathbunae. Its description in RNAcentral is "partial small subunit ribosomal RNA". Lineage: Eukaryota; Metazoa; Arthropoda; Malacostraca; Decapoda; Palaemonidae. The record is from RNAcentral.
UAAUGUCAAUAAAAAAGUUGUUAUAUUAAUAGAAGGUGAAAUUUAUAAUUUUAUUAUAAUAACUAUUUAAAGUGUUAAAUAUUUUAAUUAUUAAGGCUGUGACAUAAACCAGGAUUAGAUACCCUGUUAUACUAUGCUGUCAAUACAUUACUUGAGUAGUAAUCAGUUAUGAUCUUGAAACUUAAAGGAUUUGGCGGUAUUCAAGUCUAGUUAGAGGAACCUGCCCUAUAAGCGAUAUGCCACGUAGUAUCUUACUUUUAUUUGUUAUUCAGUUUGUAUACCGCCAUUAGUAAGUAAUGUUAAUAAACAUGUUCUAAAAUAAUAAUAAUAUUUGGUAUAUUAGGUCAAGGUGCAGCUAAUAUAAAAGAAGAGGUGGGUUACAAUAUAAUAUAUAUGCGGAUAAAUAAAUUAUAAUUAUUUUGAAGUUGGAUUUAAUAGUAAUAUUAUUUUAAUAAGUUAGUUUGAUAAAAGCUCUAGAAUAUGCACACAUCGCCCGUCGCUCUCAUUA